This 2158-nucleotide long non-coding RNA is filed under the name Equus asinus (donkey). Its description in RNAcentral is "lncRNA (ENSEASG00005031289.1)". Lineage: Eukaryota; Metazoa; Chordata; Mammalia; Perissodactyla; Equidae. The record is from RNAcentral.
UUGUCAAAGCCAUGGAGGAUCAGUCAAAACAAAGGAACAGCUGCGUUCAAAUUAAGGGUCAGAGAAAAUUAAGUCUUCGUUAGUUUGGUUCUGUCCUUUCUGAAAGAAAGAAACCCAGGAAACAUUAACUAGUUGGGAUUUCAACAGCACAUCCGUCCAGUCCGUGAGGUUCCGCCAUUUGGUAUUCUUCUGGGGAAUUCUUACUGAGACCAAAGCGGGCUCCCUGCUGGCCGGUGAGUCAGCCUCUCCACCGGAAGCAGUCGUCUCGCAAAGCAGCGAUAUUGCAGCUAACGGGAGGCGUGGGGAAUCACGUCCAGAGUCAUGGGUCCCUGAACAAAGGGAAGCAGGGACAUUUCCUUCACAUUAGGAAGGAAUAUUCCAACGGGAGAGGCGGGAACCCUCCCGCGCAGGCUCAGGGGAAACAAGCUUCCACCCUGCAGGCGGCGGAGCCCAGGCCCGAACCUCCUCCCGGAGGAGCUCGGCAUCCACAAGGCAAAGGCACAGGGGAGCCCUCUGCGGAGGCCUGGCCUGGCCCGGCGGGGCUGGCGGCACCUCCCUGACAUAACAGAAGGAAAAGAACAAUUUGGAACCACAGUUAGCCGCUUCCAAGCCCACCCUUGAGUGCGUCGGGGCAACGAGUGGGUGACUGUUUCUGCCUCUUAGCUUCACCCUCUCAGGCAAGGGACACUGCACUGGGCUGCUUCCUGCGGAAGAGCUUUCACCGCAGGCAUCUUGGGAUCCCGGGGCCGCCCGGCGACGGGACGACGGGGGCCUGGCGUCCUCACAGGCGGGGCUGGCUGGGAGGCCCGGCGGCUCUGCAGGAGAAGACAGCCCGCAGUCCCCGCCCCGCAGGCGCCCUGACCUCCCGCGGCCGUCGCCCCGCGGCCCGGCCUCGCUGCGCCGCCCCCCUCAGCCUCCCGGGCCCCCGCCCUCCCGAGUCCCGCAGGCCGCCUCCCGGGGGCGGCAGGGCCUCCGGCGGAGCGCAGGCCGGCCCCAGGGUCUCCGUGCCGGGCUCAGGCAGCCGGGGCCGCGGUGCGCCCCGCGCCUCCACCGCCCCGCCAGGACCGCGCUGCGUCCGCACGAGCCCGUCGCGCAGAGCGUCCCCGGAGGGACUGAGCGACGAGGUGCAGGAAGCAGCUCGGCGCAGGCGGCCCCCGCCUUCCUCUCCGGCCGGCGACACACGCCCGCAGGGGCCGCAGCCGCGAGCGGAGGCCGCCGCGCUGGCUCUCGCUUCGGGCCCGUCGCUUAGGCGCUCAGCGCCUCGGCUUCCCCGUCUGUGACAGGCGGCCACAGCGCCGCCCGGGGCUGGGAGCUAACUGAGCUGCUCGCCAGGAGGCGCACGCCCCGCGCCGCCGCCGGGGGAGCGGCCGAGACGCCGCGGCUGGGACCCCGCGGUGUCCGCGGUCGCCGGCCAGCGGUCAGCACGCAGUGUCUGUGCAGCCUCUGGGCGAAGCCCCGGCCGUGCAGCCCGGCUGUCCGGGCGCCGCCGUGAGAUGGGGACAGACAGACACAGAAGGAAGACCACGUGAGGACACGCGGAGCAGGCGGCCAUCUGCAACCCAGGAGAUGGGCCUUGGAGAAACCAAACCUGCGCCGCCUGGGUCUCGCACUCCGAGCCUCCAGACGGAGGAAACACGCGUUUCAGCCCGGCAGUCUGAUACUUCAUGAUGGCCGCCCAGCGAAUGACGUCCCUGGCGGCGGGCUCUGCUACGCCUUUUAUUUUGCCUCGCGUCCCGCUCUUGCUCGCGGUUCCCCCAUCUCAAGACCCCACAAGGCGCUGCCCUGGCAUCCUGUGCUCAGGCUCCUCUGGGCAAAGAUUCACUGUAGGGAUGUUCUCUGUGCAACUCCUGCCGGGCCUGUCCAUCUGCAGCUGCUCUCAGGCCACCAGGAAAGUUCUGGGCAGCCUCAGACAGAGCCUAGGCCUGGUUUAGAGUGCAGUUUCCAGAUGCAUGCCACCAUCCACAGCCGCUCCAUCCUAGGGAACUCUGGGCCUGGGAUUGCCAGAUAAAGUACAGAACACCCAGUUAAAUUUGAAUUUCAGAUAAACAACAAAUAAUGUUUCAGUAUAAGUAUAUCCUAAAUAUUGCACAGGCAUCCUUAUACUAAAACAUUAUUUGUUUACCUGAAAUUCAGAUUUUACUGAGCAUCCUGGAUUUUU